This 468-nucleotide ribosomal RNA is filed under the name uncultured bacterium. RNAcentral's name for it is "partial 16S ribosomal RNA". It matches the Rfam family "Bacterial small subunit ribosomal RNA", at positions 28 to 507 of the family's 1533-position model. The record is from RNAcentral.
GACGAACGCUGGCGGUGUGCCUAACACAUGCAAGUCGAACGGUAAGGCCCUUUCGGGGGUCCACGAGUGGCGAACGGGUGAGUAACACGUGAGUAACCUGCCCUCAUCUCUGGGAUAACAGUCGGAAACGGUUGCUAAUACUGGAUAUGAGCUUGCAAGGCAUCUUGUGGGUUGGAAAGAUUUUUUUUGGUUGGGGAUGGACUCGCGGCCUAUCAGCUUGUUGGUGAGGUAGUGGCUCACCAAGGCUUCGACGGGUAGCCGGCCUGAGAGGGCGACCGGCCACAUUGGGACUGAGAUACGGCCCAAACUCCUACGGGAGGCAGCAGUGGGGAAUAUUGCACAAUGGACGGAAGUCUGAUGCAGCAACGCCGCGUGCGGGAUGACGGCCUUCGGGUUGUAAACCGCUUUCAAUUGUGACGAAGCUUUUUUGUGACGGUAGCAGUAGAAGAAGCACCGGCUAACUACGUG